GGAGGGCAUCUAGAGGCGCCCUUUCUGGUCUAGGCGUCCUACAGGCAGCUGGAGGAAGACGUCUGAGCUGACAUCAGAUUCAUGGGGUGGACUCCUAGGAGCGGGAUGGCUGGGUGAAGGAUAUGAACUCUGUUAAGGGUUUUGAUGCAUAUUGCCAAACCACUUUCCAAAAAGCCCGUGAUGAUUCCUCCCCGAUCGGCAGCUCACAGGUGCACCUUUCCCCACGCAGGAGGACUUCUCACCUAACUUUACUCAGGCGUUAACAUCUGAGCUUUUUCUGACUCAAUUCCUGUUAAAUGUCUAUAACUGCGGGGGAGUCUUCCAGUUCUACAGAUGCAUGGAAUCUGCGUUGUGUGGUGAGGAGAGGCAGCUGAUGGACCCACCCUGCCUGGAAGAACAGCACCGUGGGGAAGCGCAAAGGGCUGGGCGCCAGUGACCCCUCCACAGACUAUUUUGGAAGAAAUAUGGGUCCAAAUGAACUGCCCUGUGACAACUGAAGUGCCAGCUUCUAGGACAGCCUCAAAAGGGAAAUCGAGUUGUCACCACUCUUCUCCCUUUCACCAGCAAAGUUCUCAGAAGGGGGCACCGUUUCUUCCUCGAGCUCCUGGUCUGUGUUUUGAACUCAGCGUCAAGGUUGGCCCCAGUGCACCUGACACAGGCACCCCCUCAUUGUCCCCCGACCUCACGGCAGUGCAUUUACCGACCUCCAGGCCCUGGCAGUGCCUUCUUUGUCUCUUCCUCUUUUGCUUCUCCUUCAGUGUGGGCACUCC
Molecule: long non-coding RNA, 770 nt
Organism: Homo sapiens (human)
Lineage: Eukaryota; Metazoa; Chordata; Mammalia; Primates; Hominidae
Exons: 3
Source: RefSeq, a predicted model, not a curated record